This is a long non-coding RNA of Macaca fascicularis (crab-eating macaque), 1769 nucleotides long. The record is from Ensembl. Lineage: Eukaryota; Metazoa; Chordata; Mammalia; Primates; Cercopithecidae.
UUUUUUGAGACAGAGUUUUGUUCUGUCGCCCAGGCUGGAGUGCAGUGGAGAGAUCUCAGCUUACUGCAAGCUCCGCCUCCCGGGUUCAAGCAAUUCUCCUGCCUCAGCCUCCCAAGUAGCUGGGACUACAGGCACAUGCCACCACGCCUGGCUAAUUAUUUGUAUUUUUAGUAGAGACGUGGUUUCACCACGUUAGCCAGGAUGGUCUCUAUCUCCUGACCUCGUGAUCCAGCUGCCUCGGUCUCCCAGAGUGCUGGGAGUUCAGGCAUGAGCCACCGCACCCGGCCCCCCAAAAGCAAAAAUUCUUGUGAUGCCCAGUGAGCUAGAAGAGCCUUAGUAUAUUUCUAGAAUAACAGGUGGAACACAAUCUUAACACCCUAAUUCUGAGGUUACUUUUAGAGUUGUGGCUUUUAUACUAAUGCUAACAGGUUUAGAGAAAUGAAACAUAAAAUUGCUUCUAAGUGGAUUACUCUGAGAAGAGGUGAUAGGGUGGGAUACUGGUAUUACUUGGAACAUUUGCAAUAAAGUUCAAAUGUUUAGGUUCCAACACUUAAUUUUAAGUGUGCAGCAGCAAAAUUUAGACAGAAAAUAUAAUUUGCAAAGUGGUCAUUUUCUCCCACACCUGGGUCUGUGUGUGUAUGUGCAUGUACAUGUGUGUGUGUUUAUACAUUUGCGGUUACUCCUUCACGCCAUCGGCAGUCACAGAAGUUCUUAUAUUUCAGACUAACAUGAUAGAGAUUUGGCAAUGCCCUGAAGUUGCACAGUGCCCACAGAUGGCAAAGCUUUUGCCAACUUUUACCUUUUUAUUUUUUGAUUGAUACAUCCAAGAUAAAGAAAAAACAUCUGUCAGCAAAUGACUGGUUAUGGACAGCAGUUCCAUUUUGCUGAUUAUUGAUUCGUUAUAUUUUCUUUGAUUUAGGGGAAUUUUGAAUGAAAAUAGAGUUUUCAUUCCUAGAGAUAAGGCACCAGUGUGAAGUGAAAAUAUGUGAUAUGUUAUUGCAUGCUUGUUUUGUCUUAGAAUGACCUGUUUGAUCUAUGAAGGCUUCUAUGAAUUUUAAUAUCUCAUGUAAGAUAAAUUACAUUGAACACAUUUUAUGUCAAACAUUGUAUGUCAAUGAUCUCAGAUAAGUUCUCCAAAUAAACCUGUAGUGUAGGUAUUACUAAACCCAUUUGUAGAAGGGAAAACUUAAAAGACAGAGAAGUUGGAUAAACUCAGAGAAUUUAAGUAAUUUUCCCAAGGUUUCACAAUUAGGCUGUAGCAAAGCAGGGCUUCCACUCCACAGUGGUUUUUAGACCUGUCCUCUUUCCAUCAUUAAGCCUCAAUGCUCCCAAUAACGCACUGAACUAUAAAGGUAGACACUCAUUUCUCUCUUCAGCAUAGGCCCCCACGCUUCAUUUUCUGAACAGACCUUGAAAAGUUAACCAUAUGAGUGGGCUAACCCUAAAGAGAAAUAAUUGGUUUGCCUCUGCCUUCAUUCUAGCACACACAGAAAUGGCACACCAAUAUGUCACAAAGGUGAAGAGCUCAGUUUCCCACCACAGCUUGAUCUGAAACCCUCACUGACACUAUUCCUCACUCAGCCAAGAUCAGCCUAUACCACACAAAAGACCUGUUGGAGACUGCAUAUUCCAUCAAUUUCACAAGAAGACUAAAAAGAGUUUAACCGAAUUAAAAUAUUUGUAAUAAUUUUUUGUGCGUUUUGCAUAGCUGUUGCUUAACAAAAUAACAGAAGAUUGGCAUAUUUUUACUGGAAAGUGGUAGCUUUUAA